Molecule: long non-coding RNA, 765 nt
Organism: Hibiscus syriacus
Lineage: Eukaryota; Viridiplantae; Streptophyta; Magnoliopsida; Malvales; Malvaceae
Exons: 8
Source: RefSeq, a predicted model, not a curated record
UCUGAAUAAGCUAAUUCGGUUUCUUCAACAAGGUUCUGGAAAUCGGAUGGCUAUGUUCUUAAAAUAUCGUAAGGCCUAGUAUCAGUUCUCAAUCCAUGGGGGAAUCUUUGCUGCUGCUUCUUAUAAUUGACCUCAAAAGCAGAAGAAGCUUCCUCAGGAGACCAAAAUGAUAAUGGAACAAGUUUAGGGGAUGCACUACAUUACUGUGUCAUGGAUACCACAUUUUCAUCUAUCAAAGAUCUUCAAAUAUUUUCUGGUGGUGCUGAUAUCAAGAGGCAGCAGGAGCGCAAGCAUUCUCACCAAAUGUCAACGCUCCUCGCACUUAUGUAGAAGCAGGGAAGCAGUGCUAGAGCUAAUGAUCACUCUUAGGAUGGAAGGGUUUGCCAAACUUCUGUAGCAGUUGCUCCUAGGGUUUUCUCAUGCUAGCAAUAAUAAUACUUACCAAGCAGCCAUUGAUAUUAAUAAUUCAACUUCUCAAAACCAUCAAGUGGAGGUCUUUGAUGAAUUUGAUCCUGCAGUUCCGUUUCAGAGAUAUGAAGACCGCUACAGCAGGGAUGAUGACUACGGAGGAAGAAGUGUUGAUGAUUAUCAGUACGCACAGGAUUUAGGAGCUAUGGUAGAGACUGUGCUUUGACGAGGAUGGUUCUUCUUGUUGGGGAAGUAGUGCUAGAGCUAAUGAUCACUCUCAGGAUGGAAGGUAACCAUAAAAUAAGCUUGAUCAUCUUCUCAUCCAGGCAAAGCUUGAUAUGCUUUACAAGUGUUGAA